UACAGAGGUCUCAAGCGUUGUUCGGAUUCAUUGGGCGUAAAGGGUGCGUAGGUGGCGCCAUAAGUCAGGUGUGAAAUCUCGGGGCUUAACUCCGAAACUGCAUUUGAUACUGUGGUGCUUGAGGACUGGAGAGGAGACUGGAAUUCACGGUGUAGCAGUGAAAUGCGUAGAUAUCGUAAGGAAGGCCGGUGGCGAAAGCGAGCCUCUGGACAGUUACUGACGCUGAUGCACGAAGGCCAGGGGAGCAAACGGG
RNAcentral lists this ribosomal RNA (253 nucleotides) under uncultured bacterium. RNAcentral's name for it is "partial 16S ribosomal RNA". It matches the Rfam family "Bacterial small subunit ribosomal RNA", at positions 524 to 776 of the family's 1533-position model. The record is from RNAcentral.